CUGCUCUUAGAGCUGAAAAGGAUCCCAAGGGUGGGUGACUUGAAGACAGAGGCAUUAUGAUCUCCGUCCUACUGUUCACUCAUGGGCGCUCAGCUACUUCGAAAGAGGAUCCUGAGUCAUAGAACCAAGAGUGAGAGGGAGUUAACCUGUCUACAGAAGGAGAAAAUGAGGCCAAUGCAGAGAGGGAAAAAGCGAAAAGAUGAAGAGAGUAUACGCUGAAGAUGGUUGAGGCCUGGAUCCAGCUAUGCCUGAAACCUAUUUGGACUUCCCAAUUAUGUGAGCCAAAAACUUUUACUUUUUCCUUAAGCUAAUUUGACUUGGAUGUUUUGGAUUUUUUUUUUUUUUGGUCACUUUUAUCAAAAAGAGUCUUAAUACACUUCCCAUGACUGGAGAUUUUUGGCAUCGUUUGAUCAAGUCACCGUUGGGCAGUGUUCUCCCACACUACCUCAUACUCAGAAGUGGCCAGUCCCCCUUGCUGCCUCAUCUUCUGGCUGUCCAGUCCUCAGCUGCCAAGUGGCACAGGUGGUCUCAUGCCUGCAGACCUCGGCAAAGUACGCUGUCCCCACCCUAACCUUUAAAGCAGGAGAAGCCAAGCUGGGGCUGCUCUGCUUAAGUCUGUUCCCAGCACCUUUCAACCUGCAAAUUCAGUGAUCUUGGGGAAAGAUGGUGGAGUCUGCCAGCCAUGCUGGUCCAGCAAGAGGGAGUGGCUGAAGUCUUCCUGUCACCCGGACAGGCAGUUUUCAAAGUGGGUACCGCAUGUCCCAGGUUCGCUCUGGAGAGAGAUCCAGUUUGUCUGUCUUGGCUCAUCUGUGUGCCGAGGGGAGGCUGGAGUAGGAGGAGCCAGUGCCUCUAUCCACAGGACCCAGAGAGGUGAUGUCAGCUUCAUGUGAAGAGUGUCCAAGCCCCGUGACAUGGAACUGGAGGGCACCAGCUCUGGGGGAAAGGGCAUUCCCGCGGGUUUGAUUGACAGUGCAGUACAAAUGAAACAGGGCCACUCCUAGGCCCCCACAUCACGGCUCCAGCCUUGUUGGUGAUAGCACAUCUGGGAAACAAGAAACCAGAGCUUGAUGGCAUUUCCUUCCCUUUUGACCCGUAAGGGGCUUUCACAGAUGUCAGCUCAUUUGAAGUCUCACACCAAGCUUGAGGACAGGAGGAGAGGACAAAGCAGUGGGUAGUAUUGGCUCAAGUACAGAGCAGUAGAAGAAACAGAUGGAUGAAGACGAUUAAGUCUGCAAAUAUAUUAACGGAACAGGAGAUUCCAGACACAGACCUAUAUAUAAGGAUAUAUUUUAAUGAUGAAGGUGACAAUUAAAAGCAGAAAGGGAAAAGACUAUCCAAUACAUGGUAUUGACACAACUGCUCCUUUAUAAGGGAAAAAAUCAAAUUAGAUCUUACUCAAUGCCAUUCAAAGCAACAGAUCCCAGACACGUUCGACUUCAACAUCGAAAGCAAAACUACAAAGUAGGCUCCAUAACAAACGAAUUCAGUUAGAGCACGGCCAGUGGUUGGCAAUUAGUUCUCAUCUUCAGCACGGUAACACCACGCCCACAUCUUAAGUGACAAUAUUUGGGGCCCCCACUUCUAGCAUUAUGAUGGGGCUUCAGUAGACUAGAACACAGGAGAAUGGUUUUGCAACCUUGAGAUGUGAAGAAGGCCUCCAUGAGCAAGACGCAAAACUCGGAAGCUAUAAAAGAAAGACUGACAGCCGUGACUACAUCAGAAUUCAAUGUUCUGUCAAAUCAACACCAAGUGAAGUUCAAGGGUGAAACUCUACAGCAAUCCAAGCAUUUUUCAGUAGAGAAAUCAUUAACAAAUUUGCCUACGUAAUUUGUCAUGCAGCCAUUUUACGGAAUCUUAAAUAGUGGUUAAGAAAAAUGACGCAAAGUUAUAUGUACGGGUGUGGAAAAAUUUCUGAGAUGUAGAGCUAAGUGUCAAAAACAAGCCACAGAACUGGCUAGAGAGGCAAAUAGAUCCCAUUCAUGCCUAAAGUGUGUGUGAAAAUUAUUAUGAAACUUCAUAGAAAAUGGACAACACUCACACAUAAUGAACUGUCCGUGUUGGUUAUCUCUGAGGAGGAAAAUGCGGUCCACAGGCGAGGGAUGAAUUUCAUUUUUCAGUCUAUAAGCUUCUGAAUUGAUAAGAUUUUACAGCAAGAAUGUACUCAUGCAUUUCGUUUGUAUAAUAUAUGAGAGAAAGGCAAUCAUAACAUUCAUAAUCAGAUCAUCAUGCUGUCGUCCUGGCUCCAGUGUAUAUUAGCUUUGUGACCUGUGGCAAUUUGCUCAGUCAAAAUGGAGUGAUAACACUUACCUCAUAAUCAUGUUAUGAGCACUGAAUAAGAUAAGAUAUAACUACCGUUUAUUGAGCACCUACCAUAUACCAUUCUUUUUAAACAGACAGUUGUCUUUUAAAUACACUAUCACACUGAACAGGCGUAGCAACCUCAUAGCUGUUAUAAGUGUCUUGCAUGUAAGGAAACCGAGGCUCAGAGAGGUGAAGUAACUUGGCCAAGGUCACAGAGCUGGUAAGUAGCAGAGCUGGGGGGAGACCUGGAUGUUUUUGACUAUAAGAUCAAUGCUAGUUUCUCCCAUGUUCUCCCUUUGAUUUUCUCUCUGAGUAGUGGUGCUUACACUGGGCUUAGGCAACACCCCAGAAUAGACCUUAGCCCAGCUCCAACAGAGCCCCCAGCCUAGACCCUGCAGAAGGGGGCCCAGGAAUUACUGACUCAUAGCCACAGCCGAUUGCUCACAGACAGUGUCUGGCAGCAUCCAUCUCCCACUUCCUCUGAAAUAGAUAACGACAGCUAUUUUAGCCUGAAAUGCCCCUGGCAUAAACACACAAAGAGUAAUAUGUCUGGACGCAAAAAAAUUCCUUGUAAAAGAGUAGUGAGGGACUUUCAUUAUAAAACGCCUUCCCCUGCUAGAGCCAGCCGGGACCCCCACGCCGGGGACCCCCAGCUGAAGAAAGGAAAGGACGAAGAGAAGACCAGGGGACAGGUACCACAUAGAGGAGGGGGCUAGGAAGAAGCUUCAGCGGCAGAAACUGAACAGAUGUUUAAGAGCAAGGAAUGGCUAACUGGAUAUUUGAAUUAUUUGCAGCAGGGUACAUAAUCUGAUUUCUUUCCGUGAACCUAAAAUUUUCAGUGAAGUCUAAUCUACCUACAAAUGUUAACUAACUCCUCUUAAGGACUUUUUAUGUGGCAGGAACUGUGCAAGGAAUUUCCACAAAUUAGCAGAUUUAAUCCCCACAACAACUCAGUUAUUAUCCCAAUUAUCUAGAUGAGGAAACUGAGGCACGGAGAAGUUAGGUAAGUUGCCCAAGAUCUCAAAACUAUUAAGUGACAGGUCUGUCUUCGGAGUCCAUGCCCUUAACCAUCACUCCACACAACCUCUCAAACACUUGGCAUAAGGGAGGUUUUUGCAUUGAAACGAAUGAAGGGGCUAAAAGUCGGGUCUGGCUUUAUGUCGCACAGAGAGGUUAGCCUCAGGGCAAAAAUGGCCUUGAAAACAUCAAGAAUACUCAGAAGUCUGGGGAAAGGGGAAUGGAAUGAGCUUUCCAGCCAAUCUUAUCUGGAUCUCAAGGGUUCCAGAGCCCCAGCUGUUGUCUGGGUUAUAUUCCUGAACGACUUCACCACUUCCUCUCCCGAGAUCUCUCUGGGGGUCAAGAAAUCCUAACAUGGUUGGGCCUGGCGUCCUCUGCUCCUUGGCAGCUGGGCCCCUGCCUUCCAAUUCUCCUUCCAGGCCCCAGGUCUGUUACACCCUUGUCGUUGCUUGGUUGCACUGGGAUUUAAAAGGAUCAAUAUCAACUCUGCCUGCUGCUCCCAGGGCAGAAUCAUCUAGAACUAUAAAUACAGACAUCAGACGAGGGUAAACUGCUGGCCAUAUUAUUGAUCUUGCCUGAUUGGAGAACACGGCUGAUACUCUCUGGCUAAUGGGUUCCCUAUGACUAUCCCUAAGUCUAACCAAGCACCGUCCAACAGAACUUUCUGGGACGAUGAAGAUGUCCUGUCUGCACUGUCCAAUAGGCAGGCUCAAGCCCCAUGUAGCUAUUGAUUAGCUGAAAUGCGGUUAGUGCAACUGAGGAAGUGAAUUUUAAAUUUGUGUUUAAUUUUAAUUUAAAUAGCUACAUAGGGCUAGUGGCUACUGUAUUGGAACUCGGCUCUGGACCUUGGAGCACGCCCCAUGAAGAAGAGUCAGACACCGUGACAGCAAGCAGGGGAAUUGCUGCCCAAUGCCAGUUGAGUCUGUAUCGGUUUCCUAUUGCUGCUGUAACAAAUUACCAAAACUUCAUGGCUUAAAGCAGAAUAAAUUUAUUAUUUUUAUAGUCCUAGAUGUCAGAAAUCCAACAUGUACUUAUUUCACUGGGCUAUAAUCAUGAUGUCACUGGGCUGUGCUCCUUUCUAGGGGUUUUAAGUGAGGAUCUUUCCCGCAUUCCUUGGCUCAAGGCUUCUUCCUCCACCUUCAAAGCCAGCAGCACAGCAUCUUCAAAUCUCUCUUUCUCUUCAUCACCUUCCCUCUUACAAGGACCCUAUGAUUACAUUGGGCUCACCCAGAUAGUCCAGGAUAAGCUUCCCAUCUCAAGAUGCUUAACUUCCGUAAAGAAAGUCAUUACAAAUCACACUGUAAAGUCCCUUUUGCCGUGUAAGGUACCAUAUUCAGAGGUUCUGGGGAUUAGGAUGGGGACAUUUUUGGGGGUGGGGAGGCAUUGUUCAGCCUGUCACAGAGUCCUGUACCAGGA
Long non-coding RNA from Equus quagga, 4734 nucleotides. RefSeq lists it as uncharacterized. Lineage: Eukaryota; Metazoa; Chordata; Mammalia; Perissodactyla; Equidae. The record is from RefSeq and is a predicted model, not a curated record. The transcript has 3 exons.